This 79-nucleotide microRNA precursor is filed under the name Medicago truncatula (barrel medic). RNAcentral's name for it is "MIR5269 microRNA precursor family". It matches the Rfam family "MIR5269 microRNA precursor family". The record is from Rfam by way of RNAcentral. Lineage: Eukaryota; Viridiplantae; Streptophyta; Magnoliopsida; Fabales; Fabaceae.
UUGGUUUAAAUCGAUGUGGCUCUACACUUUGAAAAUUGAAUUCAAAUAAAGUGGUGAGAUAUACAUUGAUUUCAUCCGA